This 687-nucleotide long non-coding RNA is filed under the name Oryzias sinensis (Chinese medaka). RNAcentral describes it as "lncRNA (ENSOSIG00000020127.1)". Lineage: Eukaryota; Metazoa; Chordata; Actinopteri; Beloniformes; Adrianichthyidae. The record is from RNAcentral.
AUGUCCUUCAGCAGAGGAUUUUCUAUUAGAAUCGCUCCUUCACCGUCUCUGUUGUGUGUUGUUCUGUUAGAUGAAUUUUUGAUAACUCGCCGUGUUUUCCUUCCGUGCAGUUCAGAUUCUGAGGGCACCUUUGAGACUCCAGAGGCUGAAUCUCCAGUUGUUGAGAAGCUGUUGGGCCAACCGGACAAUUCCAGCCACACAGUUGCUGAUGAUGUUACAAACCACAUUUUGGACAAAAACUCAAACCAAAACACCACCACAGCUCCAUCAGAUGAGGCGACAUCCCCCAAUGAUGGCACCUUUAGUUUGGAUCAAAACCUCAAUGUAACCAUAAGCUCUAAAUCUGAUCACGAGGAGGCUUUGUCCCAAUCCAGCCCCCAGGUCAAUUCUCAAACCCCUCAGCUCCCAUUGCGGCCCCCCCUCUCUCUUCUGAUCAAACCUGAUCCUUCAGAGGUGGAUGAUGAGCCCCCUGUGACACCUGAUGUCAGCCCAGACUCCAACCUAACUGUGGAUCCUGACUUGCUAAAUGGGAACAUGAAGGCUGAUGGUGUGCUGCCCAACUCAAAGCUCAGCUGUGACAUAAACGACUCAAUUAUCACGAACUCCUGUAAAGUAAAACAAAAUCAAGAAAUAAAGGACUUUUGCGGAAAGGUGAGUUCUAAACAUUUAAUUCUGUUUGUCUUUUGA